CAAUGGCCGGUACAAAGGGCUGCGAUACCGCAAGGUGGAGCGAAUCCCAAAAAACCGGUCUCAGUUCGGAUUGGGGUCUGCAACUCGACCCCAUGAAGUCGGAGUCGCUAGUAAUCGCAGAUCAGCAUUGCUGCGGUGAAUACGUUCCCGGGCCUUGUACACACCGCCCGUCAAGUCACGAAAGUCGGUAACACCCGAAGCCGGUGGCCCAACCUUUUGGAGGGAGCCGUCGAAGGUGGGACUGGCGAUUGGGACUAAGUCGUAACAAGGUAGCCGUACCGGAAGGUGCGGCUGGAUCACCUCCUUU
Molecule: ribosomal RNA, 307 nt
Filed under: Actinomycetota bacterium
Lineage: Bacteria; Bacillati; Actinomycetota
Description: partial 16S ribosomal RNA
Rfam family: Bacterial small subunit ribosomal RNA
Source: RNAcentral